This is a long non-coding RNA of Rosa chinensis, 990 nucleotides long. RefSeq lists it as uncharacterized. NCBI's taxonomy places the organism in Eukaryota, Viridiplantae, Streptophyta, Magnoliopsida, Rosales, Rosaceae. The record is from RefSeq and is a predicted model, not a curated record. The transcript has 2 exons.
GAUCUGGGAACUAGAUAGAGGAGCUAAGCUGAACCUUAUGCAUACAAGGCAGUGGUUGAUCACUCUCCCUCAAGGGCUUCACACCAAGGUAGAGUUUUAUAUCCCAGGGAGACUUGGGGUAUUUACACAAGGCUGUGAAGCCCUUGGGGGAGACUGACCAAGCUUUUUGCCUUCACAUAGUGUGCGGCUUCUUUGUCUGUAUGAUCCAAUCGAAGGUGCUGCGAGGCACUUUCGUUAACUCUCCCUCAAGGGCUUCUAGGAAUGCUAGAAAUGGCAAGCUAGGAGCACUUGAGGAGAGUUAACAAAAAGUGUCUUGAUUGAUGUUAGCGUACGCCACUUAUAUAUUGCAUUCGAUGUUGGUCGGUCAUGACUCAAGCUCAGAAAUGUUGAUCAAAAACUCCAAGGCACUUUCGUUAACUCUCCCUCAAGGGCUUCUAGCAAUGCCGCAACAGACGUAUGGCAAGCUUGGAGCGUUUAGGGAGAGUUAACAAAAAGUGUCUUGAUUGAUGUAGUAUGCCCACUAAUGGCAUUAAUUUGAUGGUCAUGAGACUCAUGACUCAGAGGUCUUUGAAUUUAAUUCUUCUUUUGCAAAGAAGGGUGUGCUGACGCUUACUGUUUUGGUAUCUUGCUAGCUCUAGCUCAGGAGAAAAUAGUAUGCCCGUGUGACAAAAUUUUGACUCCGGAUUGCUGCUGAUCAUCCAGAAUGGUGGUUCAAUCUGAUUGUGAAGGACUUUGAUACCCAAUGAAAACUCCAGCAUUUGCUUCAGAUAUGAACUUUACUAAUUUAGGACGGUAGUCCCUGCAUGUACGUACAGUUAAUUCAGAGACGUGGAUGAUCAAUAUAUUUCCAGUAGUUGUAAACAGCUAGCUAAGCUAAGGUAGCUCAACACGAAUCAGUUCAGUUGCAGAGUAUACUUGGCUCAAGCUCAAGUAAUUGUAUUAAACUAACUCAGCCCGAGUUAAAAUUGUAAUCUCCAAAAUUGAUAGCGA